GAUGAAGAACGUAGCGAAAUGCGAUAAGUAAUGUGAAUUGCAGAAUUCAGUGAAUCAUCGAAUCUUUGAACGCACAUUGCGCCCUCUGGUAUUCCGGGGGGCAUGCCUGUUCGAGCGUCAUUAUAACCACUCAAGCUCUCGCUUGGUAUUGGGGUUCGCGGUUUCGCGGCCCCUAAAAUCAGUGGCGGUGCCUGUCGGCUCUACGCGUAGUAAUACUUCUCGCGAUUGAGUUCGAUAGGUCUACUUGCCAGUAACCCCCAAUUUUUACAGGUUGACCUCGGAUCAGGUAGGGAUACCCGCUGAACUUAAACAUAUCAAUAAGCGGAGGA
RNAcentral lists this unclassified non-coding RNA (329 nucleotides) under soil metagenome. Its description in RNAcentral is "partial contains 5.8S ribosomal RNA, internal transcribed spacer 2, and large subunit ribosomal RNA". The stretch from base 1 to 120 matches the Rfam family "5.8S ribosomal RNA", at positions 35 to 154 of the family's 154-position model. The record is from RNAcentral.